Molecule: long non-coding RNA, 346 nt
Filed under: Physcomitrium patens
Lineage: Eukaryota; Viridiplantae; Streptophyta; Bryopsida; Funariales; Funariaceae
Description: long non-coding RNA (PPAT_LNC014908)
Source: RNAcentral
AAUCAAUUCCAAUGAAUCUUCCAGUCCAUUUUCUUCAUAAACACCUAAAAUCCUCUCAUCAUCUUGCAAUGUACCUAACUUGCGUAACCGUCCUUCAAUAUCAUAUAAUCUUUUUCUUUCCUUUCUUUUAAAAUCAUCAACUUUCUUAUACAUAAUAUUUCCAUUCUCCAAUAUACCAAUAAAACUCGCAUCAAAGGCACCUUCAUCUCGCGAGAGUAUCUCCUCUUUUGUACCUCCACAAUCUUGCUUUACAGUGGUACCUCCCCAAAAUCCUUAAAUCCUUCAAUAAUCUUUGGCAAUGGUUUUUCCCUCAACCUAUCUCGAUUCCGUUCAUGGUUAGGAGGUA